UACAGAGGUGGCAAGCGUUGUUCGGAAUUAUUGGGCGUAAAGAGCUCGUAGGCGGUUUGUCGCGUCUGCCGUGAAAGUCCGGGGCUCAACUCCGGAUCUGCGGUGGGUACGGGCAGACUAGAGUGAUGUAGGGGAGACUGGAAUUCCUGGUGUAGCGGUGAAAUGCGCAGAUAUCAGGAGGAACACCCGUAGCGAAGGCGGCACUCUGGGCCGAUACUGACACUGAGGAGCGAAAGCGUGGGGAGCGAACAGG
Molecule: ribosomal RNA, 253 nt
Filed under: uncultured bacterium
Lineage: Bacteria
Description: partial 16S ribosomal RNA
Rfam family: Bacterial small subunit ribosomal RNA
Source: RNAcentral